GUGCACUCAGAGCCUGUGCGCGGGUUCCCCCCCUGCUUCUUCCUUCUUCCAGUGUACCAGAGUUCGAACGGGAGAAGGCUGCAUUCCUCAGCUCACCCCUUUUUCCAAAAUGUUUUUGGGAGGGAUACCUUAGUGGAAAAGCGAAGGACAGAAACUACGUGAAGAAAGAAAUCCACAUCUCACCCUCAGAAAUCUCUGUUAUACGUGAACUAAUAUGCUGGGAGUGUACAGAGCCCUGGAACUUUUCUGGCUAAACCUGUAUCUUACCUAGGAGAUCAAUUUCCAUUACUCUCAUCCUAACUCCUUUUCCAAGCUUUACACAUAUUUUAAAAUAUAGAGAAAGAAUUCUGUCUGAAAGUAUAAAGAGCAAAGUAAGUCAAGACAGACUUACCUUGACAAUCUCCUGUUAGCGCUACUGUGUAGCUGUAAUUGAAAUGUCCUUUUUAAAUGUAUGCCCUGGAUUAUUUUUUUGCCGCAGGUCAGUUUGGAAAUGAAACAUAGUAGCUCAGAACAUUUUUCUACAGACAGACUUGCAAUUGUAAUUAUUUUAUUGUCCUUUAGGCUCUUUAGAGCCUGUGGAAGAAUUCACCGAGGUCUGAUUGUGGAAAUCAAUUGGGUAGAGCUCACAUAUAUUCUGCUGUAUAAAUUGGGAAGACCUACAUAGACUCUAAGGAAACCAUAUAGUUAAUUUACAUCUGUGAAACAUAAAAUUGGCCCCUCCAAUGGUAGACUCCUUUACACACCUUGUAUACUGCAUCCAGUUCAGGACUCAAGACAUAUUGAACAUGGACAUAUGGGAGAGAGUCCAGUGAUGGGCCACAAAUAUGAUGAUGGUGCAUCUCUCCUCUGAGGAAAAGCUGGGAUAAUUUGAGAAUGUUCAUCAUGGAGAACAGGAGGCUCAAGGGAGAUCUCAUCUAUCUCAUCGGUGUGCAUGAAUACGUGGAAAAAAAAAGAAGGGUCAAAGAUGAUGGAACCAGCUUCUUUUCAGUGGUGGCCAGUACCAGGACAAGCGGCAACAGGCAAAAACUGGAAAAUGAGAGUUUGCCUCUGAACAGCAGUAAGCAUUUCUUUACUGUGCAGCUGACGGAGCACCGGCAUAGGCUACCCAGAGAAAUUGUGGAGAAGUUCAAAAUCUUCCUGGACAUGAUCCUGAACAAGCUGCUAUAGAUGGCCCUGUUUGAGCAGGGAUUUGAAUUAGAUGACAUCCAGCAUUAGCCAUUCUAUGAUUCAGAGAAAAAUAAGCAACUUAAUUAAUGAAAUUAUGGUUUUGGAAGAGAUGUAAGCUAACAGGCUGCAAUUUCUUUCAAAAUAUUUUUUCUGAAGCUCCUAGCAUAAUGAUUUCUAACAUUGUCUGAGGCUUGUAGACAUUAUCACAGUAUAAAUAUAAUCUGCAAAUAUAAUAAAAAUAUUACCAGUGGAGUAUCCAUAUCA
Molecule: long non-coding RNA, 1431 nt
Organism: Numida meleagris (helmeted guineafowl)
Lineage: Eukaryota; Metazoa; Chordata; Aves; Galliformes; Numididae
Exons: 2
Source: RefSeq, a predicted model, not a curated record